GCAACCCGUCCAGCAGCUACUCUGACGUCGUAACCAAGAGACAGCGCAGUGCACCACGGGAAAUGUGUCCCCCUGACUGGUGGCUGUUUAGCCUUAAAGGAUAAUGUUGGACCAGAUUGUGUAUGAUCCCUUACGUUGGCUUUUAACCAUCUACUUUCAACAUCUACUUUAAUACCCCUUUUCCACCAGCCAGCAUACAACACGGGUGUCACGAUCCGGGUUACUGGACGCCAUUAUCUACCUUUCAGGUGUAUCCUGAGGCUGGCUCAGCGUUCCAGGGCCGGGUCUCAGUCAUGCUGCUGACAUCCUCACUCCACAUCUCCUCCCUGUCAUUCCGAAGGCGCUUUCAUAGUAAGCUCAUAAAGUCAAGUUGGCGUCUCCUGCCCUCCGCGGCCUCCACCGCCAUUACUGCUACUACUCACAUGGUUCUACAAACUAACUUUCCCUCCAAUUGCUAGUAUAGGCGCAGCCAUGUUGGUUCAGUCACAUGACAUUACCUCCACCGAUCCGCUGUACCGCUGAACUCUGCCUAAUUGAUCAGCCAAUGCCUGCCCUGCUGCAGGUAUAAAUAUCCUGUUCCUGAACCAGGAAGUUGUCAGUGCUUUGGUUGUCAAACCCAAUGUUACCAGUCUCCCUGCUUUGUGGUUGUUUGCUUAUUACAGGUAUUCCAGCUCCUGUCUCCAACUCCACUAGAGACCUGCACCAGUUUAACAUCUAGCGGUGCAGCCUGACUGAUCUAACAUUGAUCCCUGCAACUGGCAGUGUCUAACACCGGCUUCCAGCAUCCAGCUUCCAGCGGUGUCCUGUUUCCAAAUACCAUCGGUGCUCCGUCAUCGAAUACCAGAUACCAUCGGUGCUCCACCAUCGAAUACCAAAUACCAUCGGUGCUCCGCCAUCAAAUACCAGAUACUAUCGGUGCUCCGCCAUCGAAUACCAGAUACCAUCGGUGCUCCGCCAUCGAAUACCAGAUAUCAUUGGUGCUCCGCCAUCGACUUUCUAAUUCCAGCGAUCCCUAGCAUCACCAGUGCUACUAGCUAUUCUCCAGCUACGUUGGUGCAUCAAGCUCUCCACUCAGCUCAUCGUUCAGUCCGGUUCCAUCCGGCCUACCCAGCAGCUAACUUAUACUCCAGCCAAUACAACCAGCUUCCAGUGCACCACCUGCUGGUCAGCUCCUGUUACCGUUCUACUACUCAGUACUUGGGUGCCGGUUAAGGACAUUCCAUCUCCUUGUCUGCCAAGACUGAUACCUAAUAUUACCGCACCCAGAGGCAUCCGCAUCCCUGGUGUAUCUAACAGGAACUGUGUAUUGUCUUUAAUUUACCAUACCUGACAUUGCUGCUGAUGUACCAUCUGAACUGUGCUUGAAUAAAACCCGUUAACCUUA
Molecule: long non-coding RNA, 1384 nt
Organism: Pseudophryne corroboree (corroboree frog)
Lineage: Eukaryota; Metazoa; Chordata; Amphibia; Anura; Myobatrachidae
Exons: 2
Source: RefSeq, a predicted model, not a curated record